RNAcentral lists this ribosomal RNA (253 nucleotides) under uncultured bacterium. RNAcentral's name for it is "partial 16S ribosomal RNA". It matches the Rfam family "Bacterial small subunit ribosomal RNA", at positions 524 to 776 of the family's 1533-position model. The record is from RNAcentral.
UACGAAGGACCCGAGCGUUAUCCGGAUUUAUUGGGUUUAAAGGGUGCGUAGGCGGACUAGUAAGUCAGUGGUGAAAGCCCAUCGCUUAACGGUGGAACUGCCAUUGAUACUGCUAGUCUUGAGUAUGGUUGAGGUGGGCGGAAUGUGUCAUGUAGCGGUGAAAUGCUUAGAUAUGACCCAGAACACCAAUUGCGAAGGCAGCUCGCUAAGCCAUAACUGACGCUGAUGCACGAAAGCGUGGGGAGCAAACAGG